UUUUUCUACUGAUAGAGAUCACUCUUGAUGAUGGAUACAUCUUGUCUCCACAAGGACCAAGCUUGGCGAGUCCAAAUUCAUAGCCAUCAACAACAACAACAACCACCACUGGUAGCGACAUCAAUAAUAAUCACCGUAAUAGCAACAACAACAAGCAACAGCAGAAGUAAAGGCAACAACAACAGCAACAACUAUUAGCGACAUCAACAACUACUGGGUGAGGAGGCGACUGUUGUGAUGAUGGUUCUGUGGGGAAUUUGAGAAAUCUUGAGAGAGAGGAGUGACCUUAGUUAUUAAUAAAUGGGCAUUUUUAUCUUUUCAUCAAAAUAUAAAAUUGGUGUUAGUUCCGUAUGUAAAGUAUAAUUUCUCGAGGAAUAAAGAGAAAAUGUUACCGUGCUCGUGCACAAAAUGCAGGAUGAUUUUUCCUGCUCUAA
Populus nigra (black poplar) is the source of this 434-nucleotide long non-coding RNA. RefSeq lists it as uncharacterized. NCBI's taxonomy places the organism in Eukaryota, Viridiplantae, Streptophyta, Magnoliopsida, Malpighiales, Salicaceae. The record is from RefSeq and is a predicted model, not a curated record. The transcript has 2 exons.